GCCUAGCCCUAAACAUAAAUAUAACAACUACCCCAUUUAUUCGCCAGGGAAUUAUGAGCCCCAGCUUAAAACCCAAAGGACUUGGCGGUGCUUUAGACCCCCCUAGAGGAGCCUGUUCUGGAACCGAUACUCCCCGUUCAACCUCACCCUCUCUUGUUCAUCCCGCCUAUAUACCGCCGUCGUCAGCUUACCCCGUGAGGGCUAAAUAGUAAGCAAAAUUGGUAAAGCCCAAUACGUCAGGUCGAGGUGUAGCUUACGAGAGGGGAAGAAAUGGGCUACAUUUACUGAGACAGUAAAUACGGAUUAUGUACUGAAAACACAUCUGAAGGAGGAUUUAGCAGUAAGAGAAGAAUAGAGCGCCUCUCUGAAGCCGGCCCUGAAGCGCGC
This 387-nucleotide ribosomal RNA is filed under the name Afurcagobius tamarensis (Tamar River goby). RNAcentral's name for it is "partial 12S ribosomal RNA". It matches the Rfam family "Bacterial small subunit ribosomal RNA", at positions 794 to 1384 of the family's 1533-position model. The record is from RNAcentral. Lineage: Eukaryota; Metazoa; Chordata; Actinopteri; Gobiiformes; Gobiidae.